UACGUAGGGGGCAAGCGUUAUCCGGAUUUACUGGGUGUAAAGGGAGCGUAGACGGCGAUGCAAGUCUGAAGUGAAAGGCGGGGGCCCAACCCCCGGACUGCUCUGGAAACUAUAUGACUGGAGUGCGGGAGGGGCAGGCGGAAUUCCUGGUGUAGCGGUGAAAUGCGUAGAUAUCAGGAGGAACACCGGCGGCGAAGGCGGCCUGCUGGACCGCGACUGACGUUGAGGCUCGAAAGCGUGGGGAGCAAACAGG
This 253-nucleotide ribosomal RNA is filed under the name uncultured Eubacteriales bacterium. Its description in RNAcentral is "uncultured Clostridiales bacterium partial 16S ribosomal RNA". It matches the Rfam family "Bacterial small subunit ribosomal RNA", at positions 524 to 776 of the family's 1533-position model. Lineage: Bacteria; Bacillati; Bacillota; Clostridia; Eubacteriales. The record is from RNAcentral.